This 68-nucleotide transfer RNA is filed under the name uncultured Catonella sp. It matches the Rfam family "tRNA". Rfam says of the family: Transfer RNA (tRNA) molecules are approximately 80 nucleotides in length. Their secondary structure includes four short double-helical elements and three loops (D, anti-codon, and T loops). Further hydrogen bonds mediate the characteristic L-shaped molecular structure. tRNAs have two regions of fundamental functional importance: the anti-codon, which is responsible for specific mRNA codon recognition, and the 3' end, to which the tRNAs corresponding amino acid is attached (by aminoacyl-tRNA synthetases). tRNAs cope with the degeneracy of the genetic code in two manners: having more than one tRNA (with a specific anti-codon) for a particular amino acid; and 'wobble' base-pairing, i.e. permitting non-standard base-pairing at the 3rd anti-codon position. Lineage: Bacteria; Bacillati; Bacillota; Clostridia; Lachnospirales; Lachnospiraceae. The record is from RNAcentral.
UUUGUAGCUCAGCUGGAUAGAGCACCAGCUUCCGAAGCUGGGUGUCGCAGGUUCGAAUCCUGUCAGAC